RNAcentral lists this ribosomal RNA (552 nucleotides) under Diaporthe rudis. Its description in RNAcentral is "eukaryotic LSU rRNA". The stretch from base 198 to 351 matches the Rfam family "5.8S ribosomal RNA". Lineage: Eukaryota; Fungi; Ascomycota; Sordariomycetes; Diaporthales; Diaporthaceae. The record is from RNAcentral.
AGGGAUCAUUGUUGGAACGCGCUUCGGCGCACCUCCAGACAACCCUUUGUGAACUUAUACCUAUGCUGUUGCCUCGGCGUCAGGCUGGCUCCCCUCGGGGGGUCCCUCACCAUCUCGGUGAGGAGCAGGCCCGCCGGCGGCCAAGUUAACUCUUGUUUUUACACUGAAACUCUGAGAAUAAAACAAAAAUGAAUCAAAACUUUCAACAACGGAUCUCUUGGUUCUGGCAUCGAUGAAGAACGCAGCGAAAUGCGAUAAGUAAUGUGAAUUGCAGAAUUCAGUGAAUCAUCGAAUCUUUGAACGCACAUUGCGCCCUCUGGUAUUCCGGAGGGCAUGCCUGUUCGAGCGUCAUUUCAACCCUCAAGCCUGGCUUGGUGAUGGGACACUGCCUUUGACAAAAGGCAGGUCCUGAAAUUCAGUGGCGAGCUCGCCAGGACCCCGAGCGCAGUAGUUAAACCCUCGCUUUGGAAGGUCUUGGUGCGGCCCUGCCGUUAAACCCCCAACUUCUGAAAAUUUGACCUCGGAUCAGGUAGGAAUACCCGCUGAACUUAA